Molecule: ribosomal RNA, 225 nt
Filed under: uncultured soil bacterium
Lineage: Bacteria
Description: partial 16S ribosomal RNA
Rfam family: Bacterial small subunit ribosomal RNA
Source: RNAcentral
AGAGUGAACGCUGGCGGCAGGCCUAACACAUGCAAGUCGAACGGCAGCACAGAGGAGCUUGCUCCUUAGGUGGCGAGUGGCGGACGGGUGAGGAAUACGUCGGAAUCUGCCUAUUUGUGGGGGAUAACGUAGGGAAACUUACGCUAAUACCGCAUACGACCUACGGGUGAAAGCGGAGGACCUUCGGGCUUCGCGCAGAUAGAUGAGCCGACGUCGGAUUAGCUU